UCAAUGGGAGGGAGGUUUGCAACCCUCUGUACAUCAGCCCCCUCUGAAUUUUGUGGGGGUGACAUAAAGCAGCUUCAUUUUGCCUCCAGAUGACAUGGAGCCACGACUAAGGCCUCACCCUCUGAUGCGAACUUUCCAGCAGGGGUCUGCCCGCCGCAGAGUCAGCAUUGCUGUCAUCCCCAAGCAGCUCUUGCCAGGUGCCAGCCCAGAGAGCCGAGCAGCCCCAGCUGGUGAGCUGGAGAGGGAGAAGGCCCACUGCCAGCACAGCACCGAGAGG
Molecule: long non-coding RNA, 277 nt
Organism: Dryobates pubescens (Downy woodpecker)
Lineage: Eukaryota; Metazoa; Chordata; Aves; Piciformes; Picidae
Exons: 3
Source: RefSeq, a predicted model, not a curated record